Molecule: ribosomal RNA, 579 nt
Filed under: uncultured bacterium
Lineage: Bacteria
Description: bacterial SSU rRNA
Rfam family: Bacterial small subunit ribosomal RNA
Source: RNAcentral
CCUACGGGAGGCAGCAGUAAGGAAUAUUGGUCAAUGGACGAAAGUCUGAACCAGCCAUGCCGCGUGAAGGAUGACGGCCCUCUGGGUUGUAAACUUCUUUUAUAGGGGACGAAAAAAGGGUAUUCUUACUCACUUGACGGUACCCUAGGAAUAAGCACUGGCUAACUCCGUGCCAGCAGCCGCGGUAAUACGGAGGGUGCAAGCGUUAUCCGGAUUCACUGGGUUUAAAGGGUGCGUAGGUGGGUCUAUAAGUCAGUGGUGAAAUCUCCGAGCUUAACUCGGAAACUGCCAUUGAUACUAUAGGCCUUGAAUUAUCUGGAGGUAAGCGGAAUAUGUCAUGUAGCGGUGAAAUGCUUAGAUAUGACAUAGAACACCAAUUGCGAAGGCAGCUUACUACGGAUAUAUUGACACUGAGGCACGAAAGCGUGGGGAUCAAACAGGAUUAGAUACCCUGGUAGUCCACGCCCUAAACUAUGGAUACUCGACAUCAGCGAUACACUGUUGGUGUCUGAGCGAAAGCAUUAAGUAUCCCACCUGGGAAGUACGAACCGCAAGGUUGAAACUCAAAGGAAUUGACGG